GAGGGCAAGUCUGGUGCCAGCAGCCGCGGUAAUUCCAGCUCCAAUAGCGUAUAUUAAAGUUGUUGCAGUUAAAAAGCUCGUAGUUGGAUUUCUGUUAAUAUUUUAUAUUAUUAAUUUAUUAUUAUUAAUAUAAUAUUAACGUAAUUCAUAUUACUUUUUUUUAAGUAUAUGAAAUUUUACUUUGAGAAAAUUAGAGUGCUUAAAGCAGGCUUUUGCCUUGAAUACUCCAGCAUGGAAUAAUAUUAAAGAUUUUUAUCUUUCUUAUUGGUUCUAAGAUAGAAAUAAUGAUUAAUAGGGACAGUUGGGGGCAUUUGUAUUUAACAGUCAGAGGUGAAAUUCUUAGAUUUGUUAAAGACAAACUAAUGCGAAAGCAUUUGCCAAGGAUGUUUUCAUUAAUCAAGAACGAAAGUUAGGGGAUCGAAGACGAUCAGAUACCGUCGUAGUCUUAACCAUAAACU
Molecule: ribosomal RNA, 458 nt
Filed under: Cryptosporidium sp.
Lineage: Eukaryota; Apicomplexa; Conoidasida; Eucoccidiorida; Cryptosporidiidae
Description: SSU rRNA
Rfam family: Eukaryotic small subunit ribosomal RNA
Source: RNAcentral